AUUCCAUUACAUUCUUUGCAUUUGUCUCAGAAAGGUUCGACUUAAAAUGUGCCAGUAUAUGGCAAUGUGCAUACAUAUUUGUGAUCUAUAUAGAGAAUCUAUCUAUUCGUUCCACCCUCUUCACCUGGUCUGCUCUUAUGAACCUCUGUUUUCUGCUGCUCUGCCCUAACCCAUCCUCCAAGGUAACAACCUGUGUUCUCUACUGCUCUGCCCUGACCCAUCCUCCAAGGUAACAACCUGUGUUCUCUACUGCUCUGCCCUAACCCAUCCUCCAAGGUAACAACCUGUGUUCUCUACUGCUCUGCCCUGACCCAUCCUCCAAGGUAACAACCUGUGUUCUCUACUGCUCUGCCCUAACCCAUCCUCCAAGGUAACAACCUGUGUUCUCUACUGUUCUGCCCUAACCCAUCCUCCAAGGUAACAACCUGUGUUCUCUACUGCUCUGCCCUGACCCAUCCUCCAAGGUAACAACCUGUGUUCUCUACUGCUCUGCCCUGACCCAUCCUCCAAGGUAACAACCUGUGUUCUCUACUGCUCUGCCCUGACCCAUCCUCCAAGGUAACAACCUGUGUUCUCUACUGCUCUGCCCUAACCCAUCCUCCAAGGUAACAACCUGUGUUCUCUACUGCUCUGCCCUGACCCAUCCUCCAAGGUAACAACCUGUGUUCUCUACUGCUCUGCCCUGACCCAUCCUCCACGGUAACAACCUGUGUUCUCUGCUGCUCUGCCCUGACCCAUCCUCCAUGGUAACAACCUGUGUUCUCUA
Molecule: long non-coding RNA, 766 nt
Organism: Oncorhynchus keta (chum salmon)
Lineage: Eukaryota; Metazoa; Chordata; Actinopteri; Salmoniformes; Salmonidae
Exons: 4
Source: RefSeq, a predicted model, not a curated record